ACGUAGGUGGCAAGCGUUGUCCGGAUUUACUGGGCGUAAAGAGCGCGCAGGCGGUCAUUCAAGUCGAGUGUGAAAGCCCCCGGCUCAACUGGGGAGGGUCACUCGAUACUGUCUGACUCGAAGGCGGGAGAGGGAAGUGGAAUUCCCGGUGUAGUGGUGAAAUGCGUAGAUAUCGGGAGGAACACCAGUGGCGAAGGCGACUUACUGGCCCGGUACUGACGCUGAGGCACGAAAGCGUGGGGAGCAAACAGGA
This 253-nucleotide ribosomal RNA is filed under the name uncultured prokaryote. RNAcentral's name for it is "partial 16S ribosomal RNA". It matches the Rfam family "Bacterial small subunit ribosomal RNA", at positions 525 to 777 of the family's 1533-position model. The record is from RNAcentral.